ACGCUGACAGAAUGCUUAACACAUGCAAGUCAACUUGAAUUWGGGUUUUUAACUUAGAUUUGGGUGGCGGACGGGUGAGUAACGCGUAAAGAACUUGCCUCACAGCUAGGGACAACAUUUAGAAAUGAAUGCUAAUACCUGAUAUUAUGAUUUUAAGGCAUCUUAGAAUUAUGAAAGCUAUAAGCACUGUGAGAGAGCUUUGCGUCCCAUUAGCUAGUUGGAGAGGUAACAGCUCACCAAGGCGAUGAUGGGUAGCCGGCCUGAGAGGGUGAACGGCCACAAGGGGACUGAGACACGGCCCUUACUCCUACGGGAGGCAGCAGUGGGGAAUAUUGGACAAUGGACCGAGAGUCUGAUCCAGCAAUUCUGUGUGCACGAUGAAGUUUUUCGGAAUGUAAAGUGCUUUCAGUUGGGAAGAAAAAAAUGACGGUACCAACAGAAGAAGUGACGGCUAAAUACGUGCCAGCAGCCGCGGUAAUACGUAUGUCACGAGCGUUAUCCGGAUUUAUUGGGCGUAAAGCGCGUCUAGGUGGUUAUGUAAGUCUGAUGUGAAAAUGCAGGGCUCAACUCUGUAUUGCGUUGGAAACUGUAUAACUAGAGUACUGGAGAGGUAAGCGGAACUACAAGUGUAGAGGUGAAAUUCGUAGAUAUUUGUAGGAAUGCCGAUGGGGAAGCCAGCUUACUGGACAGAUACUGACGCUAAAGCGCGAAGCGU
RNAcentral lists this ribosomal RNA (715 nucleotides) under uncultured Fusobacterium sp. RNAcentral's name for it is "bacterial SSU rRNA". It matches the Rfam family "Bacterial small subunit ribosomal RNA", at positions 33 to 762 of the family's 1533-position model. Lineage: Bacteria; Fusobacteriati; Fusobacteriota; Fusobacteriia; Fusobacteriales; Fusobacteriaceae. The record is from RNAcentral.